CUCUAGUAGCUUAAACAUAAAGCGCCGGUCUUGUAAUCCGGAGACUGAAGGUUCGACUCCCUCCUAGCGCCAGAAAAAGGAGAUUUUAACUCCCACCCC
Molecule: transfer RNA, 99 nt
Filed under: Ictalurus punctatus (channel catfish)
Lineage: Eukaryota; Metazoa; Chordata; Actinopteri; Siluriformes; Ictaluridae
Description: partial tRNA-Pro
Rfam family: tRNA (bases 1-71)
About the family: Transfer RNA (tRNA) molecules are approximately 80 nucleotides in length.
Source: RNAcentral